GAUGAACGCUGGCGGCGUGCCUAAUACAUGCAAGUCGAACGCGCAGCGAGAGGUGCUUGCACCUUUCAAGCGAGUGGCGAACGGGUGAGUAACACGUGGAUAACCUGCCUCAAGGCUGGGGAUAACAUUUGGAAACAGAUGCUAAUACCGAAUAAAACUUAGUAUCGCAUGAUAUCAAGUUAAAAGGCGCUACGGCGUCACCUAGAGAUGGAUCCGCGGUGCAUUAGUUAGUUGGUGGGUAAAGGCUUACCAAGACGAUGAUGCAUAGCCGAGUUGAGAGACUGAUCGGCCACAUUGGGACUGAGACACGGCCCAAACUCCUACGGGAGGCUGCAGUAGGGAAUCUUCCACAAUGGGCGCAAGCCUGAUGGAGCAACGCCGCGUGUGUGAUGAAGGCUUUCGGGUCGUAAAGCACUGUUGUAUGGGAAGAAAUGCUAAAAUAGGGAAUGAUUUUAGUUUGACGGUACCAUACCAGAAAGGGACGGCUAAAUACGUGCCAGCAGCCGCGGUAAUACGUAUGUCCCGAGCGUUAUCCGGAUUUAUUGGGCGUAAAGCGAGCGCUGACGGUUGAUUAAGUCUGAUGUGAAAGCCCGGAGCUCAACUCCGGAAU
RNAcentral lists this ribosomal RNA (610 nucleotides) under uncultured bacterium. RNAcentral describes it as "bacterial SSU rRNA". It matches the Rfam family "Bacterial small subunit ribosomal RNA", at positions 28 to 621 of the family's 1533-position model. The record is from RNAcentral.